This is a long non-coding RNA of Ictalurus furcatus (blue catfish), 2138 nucleotides long. RefSeq lists it as uncharacterized. The record is from RefSeq and is a predicted model, not a curated record. Lineage: Eukaryota; Metazoa; Chordata; Actinopteri; Siluriformes; Ictaluridae. The transcript has 5 exons.
AUAUAUAUAUAUAUAGAGAGAGAGAGAGAGAGAGAGAGAGAUAACGGUAAAAAUAAACAGAAAGAGUCCGGUUCGAGGAAUAAAUAAGUAAAGAGAGUACUUAAGAAGCGCAAGAGGCGCAGUGUUUUUACAGCAGAUCAUCAUCAAGUGGCAUGCCCACUGACUCAUUCCAUCAUAUCAGCAGUACACAAUAUAUUUGGCAAAUUUAACGCACAAGUAAAUUUUACUGAGAUAAAAAAUUUUAAAUGUGGACUCGCUCUCACAGGGCACAGUGGGACACUGACACCAUUAAAUUGUUGCAGCAUCUUGCCAAAGGAGGACACAAAGCCAGUCUCUCCAAAUUACAGUAUGUACAACAAGAAGUGAGAUUUCUUGGGUCAUGACAUUUCUGCAAAGGGAAAGAAACUCUCCACAGAAAGAGUAUCUGCAAUGCAGAAGAUUCCCAAGCCCCUGACGAAGAAACAAGUUCUCUCUUUCCUAGGUAAGUUGGAUCCAGUUUCCCCCCGUGUGUACGUGCAGUAGCAGCAGCUGAGAAAGCUGUGGUGGCAUAAAGAGACCUGGUAGGUUACUCAGAAUUGAUUCUCUUGGUUCCACAUGAGGUGUUGUUACUCCUACUUGAGCAGAAAACCUCACACCUGUCCACCCAGCGGUGGCUGCACCAUAACACUAUAAGACUAGACAUGCCGAAUGUCACUUUAAAACCAUGUACUGUCCUUAACCCUGCUACUCUUCUUCCAACAGAGGGAGACGGGGAACCACAUGAUUGUGUCGUACUGACUAAUGAACUCUGCUCCCCUAGAGUCGACCUGAAAGACGUUCUAUUGGAAAACUCAGAUCUGAUCCUCUUUGUGGACGGAUCUGCGUCACGUGACCCAGAGACAGCUUUCAGAUACCAAGCACGGGCUACACGGACGAGGAAAAGGCUGUGUGGCACAAAGCAGGCUGCACGGUUGUUGACGGAGUUUGGCGAUGCCCCCAGGGCUGUCCUUGUCUUCAAAGUUGACGCAUGGCAGGGACCAUGCGUAAAAAGGGGGAAUGAUGGCUGCGAAAAGCAUUGGUUUCUCUAAUUAGUCUAAAAAAAAAUAAUAAUAAUUUUUUAAAAUUAUUUUGUUUAUGAUGUUUGCGCAGGUCAUAACGUGGGUUGAGGUUUGAAGGUAGAGAAGGCCACGUCCCUACGUCCAAACAGGACUCAGAAGCGGUAGUGAUAUCAUCCAGCUUGAUAUCAAGCGGUGUGCAUAUCAUCCAGCUAGUGGUGGGGUGGUAGAGAGAGAAAAUGGGACACUAAAAAACAGACUGAGCAAAUGCUCUUCUGAAACAGGCUUAAGAUGGGCUUAGCCCCUUUGGGAUACUGAUUGGGAGACCUCCACACACAGGAAUUGGACCUGUGACAGCUCCUCUUCCCGACUGCAGCAUGUGAUGAUGUAAUGUUAAAUUACUGUGCAACCCUGUCCUCUGCUCUGCACUCUAUCCACAAGCAGGUAAAGGCAGCAUUUCCAGCUCCAGCCAUGGGUCCGCUGCAUGAUCUGAAGCCCGGAGAGUGGGUCGUGAUCAAGGACUUCCGCAGGACCAGGUGGAACAAGCCACGGUGGUCUGGGCCAUUCUAGAUCCUUUUUCGUCACUCACUCUGUGGUAAAGUGACGCCAGCCACUGCAGGAGUGUGCCAGAGCCGAGCACUGAGCUGGAGAAGACAGGACUGCAAUAGGAGAACUAGACCAUAAUUCUCUAUCAAGAGGUCUCUAGGAGGACCAACGCUCCCGAGCGACGAUCUGCCUAUACACACCCACACACAUGAACCAAUCCCAUGCGACUCCACAAUAGACGGUCUUAAGUGGAUAACGCCUAAGAAGGCCACGUCAUGUCACUGAGAUCAGUACAGAAUGUUUAUCUGCUUACAGAGACACAAACAUGUUCUUCUGUUCAAGGUUCAUCUAAACAUCUUCCAAGAUCCUAAAACAAAGCCUGUUUGAACUGCCUCAAACUGCUUCUUAUCAGUACACAGAAUGAUGUCAUGCUCUGCGUUUCAUAUAUAUAGUAGUGGUUCAGUACAAGGACUUCAGAGCGCUCUCAUUAUUCUAUCCUGCUUUAUUCCAUCCUGUAUUAACCAUCUUUCUGUAAUAAACCUUUUUCCCUUCAGAGGA